This 27-nucleotide small RNA is filed under the name Bombyx mori (domestic silkworm). RNAcentral describes it as "ovarian small RNA-6047". Lineage: Eukaryota; Metazoa; Arthropoda; Insecta; Lepidoptera; Bombycidae. The record is from RNAcentral.
UACCGCUAUGAGAUGGAACUCAGUUAA